RNAcentral lists this ribosomal RNA (200 nucleotides) under uncultured bacterium. RNAcentral describes it as "partial 16S ribosomal RNA". It matches the Rfam family "Bacterial small subunit ribosomal RNA", at positions 8 to 208 of the family's 1533-position model. The record is from RNAcentral.
AGAGUUUGAUCCUGGCUCAGGACGAACGCUGGCGGCGUGCUUAACACAUGCAAGUCGAACGGAGAUAGUAGCAAUAUUAUCUUAGUGGCGGACGGGUGAGUAACGCGUGGGCAACUUGCCUCAAACAGGGGGAUAACACAGGGAAACUUGUGCUAAUACCGCAUAACAUAUCGAAGUGGCAUCACUAUGAUAUCAAAGGA